RNAcentral lists this long non-coding RNA (1585 nucleotides) under Homo sapiens (human). RNAcentral describes it as "long independently transcribed non-coding RNA 1811, transcript variant 10 (LINC01811)". Lineage: Eukaryota; Metazoa; Chordata; Mammalia; Primates; Hominidae. The record is from RNAcentral.
AGAGAUGUUGAGAGAUCAACCAGGAGACUGUGGGAGGAUGUGAGCUCUCUGAGGUGAGGACAGUCUGUUCUGAAGGUCUACACAUUAAUGCUUCCUAUUGGGAAUUCAAAUCGGCAAUUUGUUCUUCUUCUGGUUGUUUGAAUCUUCAAAAUAGAGGGAAGACACCUGGAUGAAACAUUUUCACAGACUCUGCAAUUCCCUUAAGAGGAUCCCAGAGCCCUUAAGCUUCUCUUAGAUUCCUCUGAUUUUUUUCAGCCCAAGGACUGUUACCACAUGUCUUCCAUCUUGCCCACAAUUUUAGCAGAUCAUCAGGAUACUUGCCAACAAGGUCACAGUGGACUCCAUGGAGCAACUGCCCUCAGGAGGCAACAGAUGGCUUCACUUGCUUAUUGGCUGAAGGUCUGCAAGGACUCAAUUCACAUAUCUGAUCAUACCUGGAGUCCAGACUUUCUCCUGAUGCCUGACCCCUUUGCCAUUAGGUCGGCUCCGUAUGACUGAGUUCUAGCCAGUGAGGUAUGGGCAGAAGUGAUGUGUACCAAUUGCGAGCUCGACUUUUGAAAUCAUCCCACGUGAUCCUCCUGCCAUCUACCAGCCAUCCUUUUUGAUCUUGAAGGUCUUAUGCCUCAGAUUGUGUAACUACAGGAUGAAGGAAGGCCACUCAACCCACACUUGGACAUGAUGUCACAGUGUUUGGACACCGCAUGAACAUGCCAAUUUCCUGUGUUGUAAUAUUUUUAUGCACUUUAAGAAGACCACCAGAAACAGCAGAGUGAGUGAAUGACUGAGGCGCAUAUUGGACAAAAAUCACUUAUCCAAGACCACGUUACUACAACCCCAGGGCACAGAAGCUAAGUCUUCCUAUUGUACUGAACUCAGUUGACUGGAAUUUGUUCAGGAAAGCAUGAAGUCAAAUGGAAGCUAGUCCGUGACUGGAUUCAUCUUUUGGUAAAAAACGAAGAGGAGACCCCAUAUCCUGGAGGUUCUUGCUUAACCCUGUCCCUAAUAAGACCUAACUUUAUGAGUCUUCUCCUUAGAGGCAGUCCUAGGGUAAGAGUGAUUAUUCCUGUGAGCCUUGUAGGUACUUUCGAAUCAAGGAAAUUAGUAGUUGAUUGCUAAUUAAUUCAGUAUUUAAUGAAUUUAAGUACCUAGGCAAUGAGGCCACAAUAGCAAAUAAGACACAGACCUGUUUUCAAAAAGUAGCCUGUAAAUAAGAUAUUUUUUUCUGCCAUGGUGGCAAAGGCAUGACUAUGGUGAUGAACAUUCAUAGGCUCACCUUCUAGCUCUGUUGUAUGUUAACUGUGUGAACUUGGGUCAAGUUAUGAAAACUCUAAGAACUCUCAAAACUCCUGAUCUGUUUUAACAUGAAAGUAAAGAUAUCUAAUUGAAUUGUUGUGAAACUUAAAUGUAAUGUGACAUCCAAAGAAUGUAGCCCAAAGUUGGAUUUCAGUAAGUGAUAAAUAGAAGUAUUUAAACAUGGGUAUGGUAUGUUCUGUAACAGAAGAAUGUCUAUGUGCUGGGGAUACCUAGAGACAGUGAAAAUUCUGUCUGGCCUGCGAAUUAUAAUAAAAUGACUCUUUAAAGUCAA